RNAcentral lists this ribosomal RNA (452 nucleotides) under uncultured bacterium. Its description in RNAcentral is "bacterial SSU rRNA". It matches the Rfam family "Bacterial small subunit ribosomal RNA", at positions 64 to 507 of the family's 1533-position model. The record is from RNAcentral.
GAACGGUAGCACAGAGAGCUUGCUCUCGGGUGACGAGUGGCGGACGGGUGGGUAAUGUCUGGGAAACUGCCCGAUGGAGGGGGAUAACUACUGGAAACGGUAGCUAAUACCGCAUAACGUCUUCGGACCAAAGUGGGGGACCUUCGGGCCUCACACCAUCGGAUGUGCCCAGAUGGGAUUAGCUAGUAGGUGGGGUAAUGGCUCACCUAGGCGACGAUCCCUAGCUGGUCUGAGAGGAUGACCAGCCACACUGGAACUGAGACACGGUCCAGACUCCUACGGGAGGCAGCAGUGGGGAAUAUUGCACAAUGGGCGCAAGCCUGAUGCAGCCAUGCCGCGUGUAUGAAGAAGGCCUUCGGGUUGUAAAGUACUUUCAGCGGGGAGGAAGGCGAUGAGGUUAAUAACCUUAUCGAUUGACGUUACCCGCAGAAGAAGCACCGGCUAACUCCGUG